Parelaphostrongylus tenuis is the source of this 74-nucleotide non-coding RNA. Lineage: Eukaryota; Metazoa; Nematoda; Chromadorea; Rhabditida; Metastrongylidae. The record is from the annotation of a GenBank genome assembly.
GUCUUGGUAGUGCAAACGGUUAGCACGUCGCCCCCGAAAGAGUGAAAUAGGGGUUCAAUUCCCAGCCUAAGAUU